ACAAACAAAAUGGUUUGUUUUUACUUGAAUUGCUCUUGACCAGCUUGCACCAACAUGGAGCAAUAUGGGCUGGCAUGCAAGAUAUAAGGGCAUGUAUCUCUGUAUUUGUGCUGUUACUGUGUUUUCACAUGACAUACUGUAUGGCAUCAAUAAGAUACAAUCCCUGAAACCUCCAUCAAUUAAUAAUAUAAGUUUGUUGACACACAAAAUUCCAUCUGAACCCUUUUCUUUGGGUUUGGUCAAUGUCUAUUCCAAGGUUUUAAGUCCUGGCGGGACGGGGGAAGUCCCGAUCGUCCUGCCCCAUUCCCAUGAAAAAAUGGGAUCGAGACGGGUUGGAACUCUGAAACCCAUCCAUGUGGUGAGAGGAAAAGACAGAGAAAAGAUGAAGAAAAGAAAAAAGUGAAAGUAAAGAAGAAAAAAAGAAAAAUGGAAGGAAGGGAGAAGAAAAGGAAAGGAAGGAAAGAAGGAAGAAAGGAGAGAGAAAGAAAAAGAAAAAGGAAAAAAGAAAGAAAGGUAGGGAUAAGAAAAAGAAAGAAAAAGGAAAGAAAAGAAAGGAAGGUAGAAGAAAAAGAAAGAAAAGAAAGAAGGAAAGAAAGAAGAAAAAGAAAGAAAGGAAAGAAGAAGGGGAGAGGAACAGAGGAUACCUAUUGGGACCGAUGUAGGGAUGGGGCGGGACAGCGGGGCGUCCCAUUCCAUGGAGAAACCAGGACACCCUCAUUCUAUGGGAUUUAAAGCCUUGGUCUAUUCUAUAUUCUUGCUAUUAGUUUUGUUGAUAAGAAUUAAGGAAUUUUCUAGAAAACUCAAUCAUAUGAAUUGAUUUCUUGGAUCUAGAUAGAAGUUUCACAAAAUUGCUCCUUAUGUUUGUCUGCUUGAGAUGUUUAAGUGAAUGUCUGAAUUGAUGGGAUACUCCACAGGUUUUUUUUAUGUUUCCAACUAUUUCUUGGAGGUUGAAAGAUAUGCUACUUCAUCUAGCUCCUUGUUUCUAUUUGGUCAACAUCUAUUUCUUACCAUGUUAUUAACACUUUGGAAUGAUGAUCAACACAUUUAUUUGGAGAUCUCUUAUAUUAUUGAGAUGUGGGAGUUGAAUAUAAUGGAUGACAGAAUUGUGCUAGAGGGAUGAUCACUUAUCAUGUUAAAUAGAAAGUAUGAACUAAAUUUAGAGAUUAGAAGGUGUAAUGCCAUUCAAAAUUAUAUUCAUUACCUAAAUCAAGUUAUAAACCAAUUCUAGCACCAUUGAAACUAUGUCGCCUAAAAGCCUAGCCUGGAAGCAGGAUUAGCGGUUCAAUAAGGCACGUGUCUUUACUUACCCAAGCAUAAGCGACAAUAAGCCAUUUUUUGGAGUUGAAUAGCUCAUUCUUGACAGUUCAGUCGAUCCCUAGAUAACUGGGGAUCAAUAGUUCCUUACGUCCCCUUGUAUCGGGUUUAUUCCCAUUCUCUAUCCCACCUGAUUAUCAAAAUGGCCGAGAACACCCUUUAUUAGCUAAAGCUAAUCAUGAAGAGCAGGGCGUAUUUGUCUUUGAACCAAGAAGAAUCACUGUAGUGUCAAUUGUAGUAUGGUACAAUGUAGUCAUGAGUUGGAGAUGAAGCAUUGGAGCACAAAAGAAGACUUUUUUAGCCUUACCCUCAAAAUAAUUAUAUAACCAUUGUGGAUAAAAGAAAAUUAUGCGAGAAUUUUCAGUUCUGUUUCCAAACUGGGCCUAAGAGUUUCUAAAUAAGGAGUUGAAUAUUCACUAUCUGUAGGAGAUUGUUACAUUAGUACAAAUCUAUUUUAGGUAACAAUGUAGAAGCUCUUUAUGGUGUUUAAGCACAAAAAAUCUGCUAUUUUGAUCCAUAAGGGAGUAGAAACGAUGGCAUAUGGUUGGAUGCCAAAAUUUUUCUAAAUGUGGGAGGUAAUGUGUUUGAAAGGAUAGCAAUUUAUUAGGGCAUGCGAGAACUUCAACCUCUACAAUCUCUUCUACAUCUUUCAUUCUUGUGGCAAGUUAGUCUAUGUUAGGAUGGAACAGGGUUUUAAAUAUGGGUAUUGAACCCUAUACUUUUUUCCCCAAUGGAACGAUAUGUAGGGUUGCUAAUGUGUUGGGUCGAAUAGGGGCAUGCUUGACCCCAACCUGACCUGACCCGAUUUCAUGUAAGGUCAUGAUAUUGGAUCCGGACCCAGACUAGUAGAUGGUCGGGUUGGGUUGGGCCUGGUCCAUGGAAAAUAUUUUAGAUCUAGUGGGUCGUUUAGUUCAGGUUGGGUUCA
RNAcentral lists this long non-coding RNA (2239 nucleotides) under Phoenix dactylifera (date palm). RNAcentral's name for it is "long non-coding RNA (PDAC_LNC007193)". The record is from RNAcentral. Lineage: Eukaryota; Viridiplantae; Streptophyta; Magnoliopsida; Arecales; Arecaceae.